AUCAACUUCGGGCCGCAGGAGGCUCACUGAGUUGCUGUAAUGCCGGGGCAUUUAUUCAUCAUCCUCUCCCAUGCUGCUUCCAGCCUUGUCACUCAGCACAACAAAUAGUUAAUGGAUCCCGACUCCUGCGAGGCUUCGCAUUUCACAACCAGGAGGCUCUGCAGUGGGUCUGCUCUUUCCCGCUUUCGUGAAAAAAAACUGGCAGAGGGGUAAUCGCUCACAGGAAACAUGCUGACCAAGUCCACCUGUGAAUGACGACAGGAAGGAAGAAACGAACACAUCCCCUCCAGGGGCUGACCGGAACCAGGAAAUGUUUGACUUUACUCCCUCCUCUUUUAGUAUAAAAGAAGCCUGAAUUCUAACUCAGGCAAGAUGGUUCUUUGGGACACGAGUCCAUGGUCUGCUGGCUUUCUGAAUAAAGUUGCUACUCCUUGCCCCAACAA
Long non-coding RNA from Eubalaena glacialis (North Atlantic right whale), 443 nucleotides. RefSeq lists it as uncharacterized. NCBI's taxonomy places the organism in Eukaryota, Metazoa, Chordata, Mammalia, Artiodactyla, Balaenidae. The transcript has 2 exons. The record is from RefSeq and is a predicted model, not a curated record.